UCUCUGAACACGCCAUGAGGUUCCGGGUGAUCAUCGGUGAAGACAUUAAAAAGAUCACAUUUGAAAACGGCCUUCCAUUUUGCGUGAAUGAUUUCAUGCAGGUGGUGAAACAAGCCUUUCUCUCGGGGACGAUAUCAGGCUCCAUUACAAAGAUUCAGACUUUGACGACUAUUUCACGCUCACCUCCACAAAAGACCUGAAAGACAAGGACACGCUGAAAGUGGUUCAACUUUCAAAAAACGCCAAAACAUUCACUACUCCUGCCCAUAACUUCACUCCGGUUUUGUCUGAAAUCGGCAGUGUAGACGAGAUACCCUCCAUAGAGUUGCCUGAUCUACCGUCUAUGGAUGAAGAAGACACGUUGCAGCUAAAUUCAAAAGAACAGCUGGAUUUGAACCUCAAUUUUGAAGAUUGUGCAUCUGUGCCUUCUGAAGACGCCGCCCCUUUCAACAUCCCGACCUGCAAUGAUGCACAGGGCGACUCACCUGUGGGUCCAUCUACUUCAUUUGUCGCUUCACGCAAGUUAUGGACCGGUGUUUUCGAAGUUCCAACAUUUUCUUACGCUACGGAGUUAGUUUGAGAAAAGCGAAUGAACGAUUCCUAAGAGACAAUGUGCCAAUGAUUCCUGACAAACUGAGAAAGAUCAAAUCUGACAUUCUGGAACGGAUCACGGAAGCGAUGUACGUUUACACCGCGUACCCCAAUGACGCACAGAGGAUGGUUGCAUGUCAAGCGCUUAUAACAAAGUUUCCAUGUUUGAAGGAGUUGGGCUGUGUAAGCGGCUGCGAUGGUUGGAACAAUAGUUUAAUGUACAAAUUUGGGAAUUACAGAUCCAAGCUUAGGAACAGUGGGAGUCAAGAGGUGCUGAUAAACUCGCUGAACACAAAACAGAUGGAUUCAGACACCCGCGCCAAGUCAAGAAGCCGAAGAAAGCAGAAGUGAACUUCUUGCCACCGUUGCCAAUGGGAGAAACAAUGUCCAGUUCGGAGGAGCUCAGGGUGAGGCUGGUCGGUCUGCACCAGAAAGGAGCCAGUGCACCGCUCAUAAACGAACUCAUGACCAGAACCUACAGCUACAGACGACAGGAGGUGGUAUUUGGGAACCACAAGGUGGAGGAGCUGAAGGAGAGGUGGCCUGCGCUGUUCACUCCUGCUCAGAUCAAUGAAGAGUUUAAACGUUGCAACACGGUCCCUCUUCACGCCAGCUUCAUGUCCAACCUCGACAAGUACAUCCCCAAACUGCUCACCCUCUUCAGCUCAGUAGGGGGCGCUCUGGGACAACGCCUCAAGUCUCUGUGGCUGGAGCUGGUUGAGAGUCCGGAUUCGUCUGCUGUGAAGAAGAGAGAUGUGGUUCUGCGGUGUCUGAUCGAAUACAUGGGAGAACGCAACAGCGAUCUGAUCUCAGAGCACAGCGUACGUGUGUUUGUUUUGCAGCUUUGGCGACAUGUAUUUACCGACUACUGAGUGUGGGGAGUAAAUACUGUUUGUAAAUCACUUUAUAACCUCAUCACUCACCAGUCUCUGCGUGUAUUUCAGGGCGUCCCGGAGGAGGAGGUGCUGGAGCAGCUGAGUUCUGAGAGUCUGAAGAUCUUCGUUUGCGCUCGGCCUGACGCGGUGGGGUGGUGAUCGACGGACCCCGGUGCUGCACAGCGUGGACUCGCUCUCCUCCGCCUGCUGCCUCCUCUACGGCCUUUUGUACGCCCUGAACAUUGACUACCCUCCUGCACUCGCCAAGACAUUCGAGCUGUACCAGAGGCUCCUGGUGGGACUGGACUCAGUGCAGCCGAGAACCAGCUCCAAACUGAUCCACCUCAAAAACAAACUCCUAAACGUCAACUAUCCGUGAUUUGCCAAAGUUUUAUUCAGAUUUUUAAACGGAAAGAAAGAAACUGAAAAUGAACAUAAAACGUUUAAAUCUUAAUUCUUUCAAAUUUUACGUAAAAUCGAAAACAAACAUGACAACUGCCUUUCAUUAUAUUGUCAGAUCAAAUUUCGUGUGUACUCGCUCUACUGAGUAAAUUCCUCUUUACUGGCCAAGGUUUAUAUUUAAAUCAGAAGGAAAUAGCAGCAUGUAGUGUACUCAUGCAUCACAAUGUUUUAUUAACCCUUUUUACAUUAAAUAUAGUUGAUAUUUGUGUAUAAUUUCAAUAGUUCAGUCAUGGUUAGUUGAAAAAGCGCAAAUGGUUAGUUUGUUGAUGUAAUAAACUGUUUCAGAAGAAUUGAAAUGAUUGAAAUGUUAAAGCAUUAGUUUUUAUGCUGUUGUAGCAUAUAAAUAUGUUGUUCUCAUU
RNAcentral lists this long non-coding RNA (2287 nucleotides) under Neogobius melanostomus (round goby). RNAcentral describes it as "lncRNA (ENSNMLG00000002974.1)". Lineage: Eukaryota; Metazoa; Chordata; Actinopteri; Gobiiformes; Gobiidae. The record is from RNAcentral.